AGUCAUUCUGCCCAUUGAAUUUAAAAGGCUGCGGUAUUUUAACUGUACAAAGGUAGCAAAAUAAAUAGUUUUUUAAUUGAAAACUUGAAUGAAAGAGUUAAUAAAAUAUAAAUUGUCUCAAAAAAUUAAUUUAAAUUAAAAGUAAAAAUACUUUUAUAUUUUUAUUAGACGAUAAGACCCUAAGAAUUUGAUUAUUUAUAUUAUUUUAAUAAAUAGAUGAAAUAUAAAUUAUUUUAUUGGGAGGGUAAAUAAAUUAAACUUUAGUUUUAUAAAAUAUUUUUAGAUAAAUUUAAUGAUUAUUAUUAAGAUUAUAAGAAUAAAUUACCUUAGGGAUAACAGCGUAAUAAUUUUGGAGAGUUCAUAUUGAUAAAAUUGUUUACGACCUCGAUGUUGAAUUAAAAUAAAAAUUAAAUGGAGAAAUUUAAAAUUUUAGUCUGUUCGACUAUUAAAAUUUUAC
RNAcentral lists this ribosomal RNA (457 nucleotides) under Asteloeca ujhelyii. RNAcentral's name for it is "partial large subunit ribosomal RNA". The stretch from base 332 to 457 matches the Rfam family "Bacterial large subunit ribosomal RNA", at positions 2473 to 2599 of the family's 2925-position model. The record is from RNAcentral. Lineage: Eukaryota; Metazoa; Arthropoda; Insecta; Hymenoptera; Vespidae.